This 530-nucleotide ribosomal RNA is filed under the name uncultured bacterium. RNAcentral's name for it is "bacterial SSU rRNA". It matches the Rfam family "Bacterial small subunit ribosomal RNA", at positions 356 to 896 of the family's 1533-position model. The record is from RNAcentral.
UGGGAAUAUUGCACAACGGGCGGAAGCCUGAUGCAGCAACGCCGCGUGCGGGAUGACGGCCUUCGGGUUGUAAACCGCUUUCGCCUGUGACGAAGCGUGAGUGACGGUAAUGGGUAAAGAAGCACCGGCUAACUACGUGCCAGCAGCCGCGGUGAUACGUAGGGUGCGAGCGUUGUCCGGAUUUAUUGGGCGUAAAGGGCUCGUAGGUGGUUGAUCGCGUCGGAAGUGUAAUCUUGGGGCUUAACCCUGAGCGUGCUUUCGAUACGGGUUGACUUGAGGAAGGUAGGGGAGAAUGGAAUUCCUGGUGGAGCGGUGGAAUGCGCAGAUAUCAGGAGGAACACCAGUGGCGAAGGCGGUUCUCUGGGCCUUUCCUGACGCUGAGGAGCGAAAGCGUGGGGAGCGAACAGGCUUAGAUACCCUGGUAGUCCACGCUGUAAACGGUGGGUACUAGGUGUGGGGUCCAUUCCACGGGUUCCGUGCCGUAGCUAACGCUUUAAGUACCCCGCCUGGGGAGUACGGCCGCAAGGCUA